RNAcentral lists this ribosomal RNA (517 nucleotides) under uncultured bacterium. RNAcentral describes it as "bacterial SSU rRNA". It matches the Rfam family "Bacterial small subunit ribosomal RNA", at positions 28 to 447 of the family's 1533-position model. The record is from RNAcentral.
GACGAACGCUGGCGGCGUGCUUAACACAUGCAAGUCGAACGGGUUCGGAGGUUAGAAGACAGAGGUCAGAGGUAGGAAUUAAAAAUAGAAAUCGGCUCUGCCGAUUUCAACAAAAAUUCCGACAUCCGACUUCCGACUUCUGACUUCCGAUACUAGUGGCGGACGGGUGAGUAACGCGUGGGCAACCUACCCAUAAGCGGGGGAUAACAGUUGGAAACGACUGCUAAUACCGCAUAAGCUAUUAAGGUCGCAUGACCAUAAUAGUAAAGGUAGCGAAAGCUAUCACUUAUGGAUGGGCCCGCGUCUGAUUAGCUAGUUGGUGGGGUAGAAACGCCUACCAAGGCAACGAUCAGUAGCCGGCCUGAGAGGGUGGACGGCCACACUGGGACUGAGACACGGCCCAGACUCCUACGGGAGGCAGCAGUGGGGAAUAUUGCGCAAUGGGGGAAACCCUGACGCAGCGACGCCGCGUGAGCGAAGAAGGCCUUAGGGUCGUAAAGCUCUGUUGUAAGGGACG